Molecule: unclassified non-coding RNA, 224 nt
Filed under: Hevea brasiliensis (rubber tree)
Lineage: Eukaryota; Viridiplantae; Streptophyta; Magnoliopsida; Malpighiales; Euphorbiaceae
Source: RNAcentral
UGUGUGUCCACUACUCGAGGUCCUUCACGAUCAUCAUUCCUUCCUAAGUAAUGAUGCACUUCAUGAGCUGAUGGCAUCCCAGAUUGUGGAAUAUCUGGUACAUAUUCAGUUCGAGGUCGUUUGAGCAAUCCAGCAGAUUGAGGAAGCUGCGGUUGACGAUUCCAAUAUGCAUCCCCCAUCUUUUCUUCUUCUCUACACUAACUACAACAAUUCACAACCCAAAA